GAUGAACGCUGGCGGCGUGCUUAACACAUGCAAGUCGAACGGAAAGGCCCUGCUUUUGUGGGGUGCUCGAGUGGCGAACGGGUGAGUAACACGUGAGUAACCUGCCCUUGACUUUGGGAUAACUUCAGGAAACUGGGGCUAAUACCGGAUAGGAGCUCCUGCUGCAUGGUGGGGGUUGGAAAGUUUCGGCGGUUGGGGAUGGACUCGCGGCUUAUCAGCUUGUUGGUGGGGUAGUGGCUUACCAAGGCUUUGACGGGUAGCCGGCCUGAGAGGGUGACCGGCCACAUUGGGACUGAGAUACGGCCCAGACUCCUACGGGAGGCAGCAGUGGGGAAUAUUGCACAAUGGGCGGAAGCCUGAUGCAGCAACGCCGCGUGCGGGAUGACGGCCUUCGGGUUGUAAACCGCUUUCGCCUGAGACGAAGCGUGAGUGACGGUAAUGGGUAAAGAAGCACCGGCUAACUACGUG
This 468-nucleotide ribosomal RNA is filed under the name uncultured bacterium. RNAcentral's name for it is "partial 16S ribosomal RNA". It matches the Rfam family "Bacterial small subunit ribosomal RNA", at positions 28 to 507 of the family's 1533-position model. The record is from RNAcentral.